Molecule: ribosomal RNA, 718 nt
Filed under: uncultured bacterium
Lineage: Bacteria
Description: bacterial SSU rRNA
Rfam family: Bacterial small subunit ribosomal RNA
Source: RNAcentral
AGAGUUUGAUCCUGGCUCAGAGCGAACGCUGGCGGCAGGCUUAACACAUGCAAGUCGAGCGGGCGUAGCAAUACGUCAGCGGCAGACGGGUGAGUAACGCGUGGGAACGUACCUUUUGGUUCGGAACAACACAGGGAAACUUGUGCUAAUACCGGAUAAGCCCUUACGGGGAAAGAUUUAUCGCCGAAAGAUCGGCCCGCGUCUGAUUAGCUAGUUGGUGAGGUAACGGCUCACCAAGGCGACGAUCAGUAGCUGGUCUGAGAGGAUGAUCAGCCACAUUGGGACUGAGACACGGCCCAAACUCCUACGGGAGGCAGCAGUGGGGAAUAUUGGACAAUGGGCGCAAGCCUGAUCCAGCCAUGCCGCGUGAGUGAUGAAGGCCCUAGGGUUGUAAAGCUCUUUUGUGCGGGAAGAUAAUGACGGUACCGCAAGAAUAAGCCCCGGCUAACUUCGUGCCAGCAGCCGCGGUAAUACGAAGGGGGCUAGCGUUGCUCGGAAUCACUGGGCGUAAAGGGUGCGUAGGCGGGUCUUUAAGUCAGGGGUGAAAUCCUGGAGCUCAACUCCAGAGCUGCCUUUGAUACUGAAGAUCUUGAGUUCGGGAGAGGUGAGUGGAACUGCGAGUGUAGAGGUGAAAUUCGUAGAUAUUCGCAAGAACACCAGUGGCGAAGGCGGCUCACUGGCCCGAUACUGACGCUGAGGCACGAAAGCGUGGGGAGCA